This 72-nucleotide transfer RNA is filed under the name Nilaparvata lugens yeast-like symbiont. Its description in RNAcentral is "tRNA-Val (CAC) (tRNA-Val-CAC-1-1)". It matches the Rfam family "tRNA". From Rfam's summary of the family: Transfer RNA (tRNA) molecules are approximately 80 nucleotides in length. Their secondary structure includes four short double-helical elements and three loops (D, anti-codon, and T loops). Further hydrogen bonds mediate the characteristic L-shaped molecular structure. tRNAs have two regions of fundamental functional importance: the anti-codon, which is responsible for specific mRNA codon recognition, and the 3' end, to which the tRNAs corresponding amino acid is attached (by aminoacyl-tRNA synthetases). tRNAs cope with the degeneracy of the genetic code in two manners: having more than one tRNA (with a specific anti-codon) for a particular amino acid; and 'wobble' base-pairing, i.e. permitting non-standard base-pairing at the 3rd anti-codon position. The record is from RNAcentral. Lineage: Eukaryota; Fungi; Ascomycota.
AGUUGGAUGGUGUAACGGUUAGCACGGUUCGUUCACACCGAACAGAUCCGGGUUCGAUUCCCGGUCCGACUA